CAUUUGGCAUGGAGGCCUCUGACCGCGACGCCGCGUGCGGGAUGAAGGCCUUCGGGUUGUAAACCGCUUUCAGCAAGGAAGAAGCGAAAGUGACGGUACUUGCAGAAGAAGCACCGGCUAACUAUGUGCCAGCAGCCGCGGUAAUACAUAGGGUGCAAGCGUUGUCCGGAAUUAUUGGGCGUAAAGAGCUCGUAGGUGGUUCGUCACGUCGGAUGUGAAAAUCUGGGGCUUAACCCCAGACCUGCAUUCGAUACGGGCGAGCUAGAGUGUGGUAGGGGAGACUGGAAUUCCUGGUGUAGCGGUGGAAUGCGCAGAUAUCAGGAGGAACACCAAUGGCGAAGGCAGGUCUCUGGGCCAUUACUGACACUGAGGAGCGAAA
Molecule: ribosomal RNA, 379 nt
Filed under: uncultured bacterium
Lineage: Bacteria
Description: bacterial SSU rRNA
Rfam family: Bacterial small subunit ribosomal RNA
Source: RNAcentral